This 669-nucleotide non-coding RNA is filed under the name Pongo abelii (Sumatran orangutan). The record is from RNAcentral. Lineage: Eukaryota; Metazoa; Chordata; Mammalia; Primates; Hominidae.
GGCCUCAGCCGGCGCACCUGGCGGAAGAGGAACCUCGCGAAGCGCUGUCGGGCACCGGUUUCUCCCAGCAAAGCUUGGAGGGUUUAGCUGCGGAGAGAGCUCAGCGAGCUCUCCUGUGCCUGUUUGGGGCGUGUGGGCUCCGGGAGCGUGAGGACCGGGAAGCUGGGAGGCUCCUUCCCUUCUGGUGGCUCCCUCACUGAGACCGGGCGGUUUGGUUGCGGGGGACGUGGAGGCGAGCCACCCUUGACCUUUGCAAGGACUCACCUUGAGCAGGAUAGAGGCACGUGAACGGUGACCCUCGGGGUGCAAUAAAUGCUGAGACAGAGCAGCAAACAUUCAGUGGGCCAGACACUGUUCUGAAAAAUACACAGUCGACUCUUGAACAACACAGGCUUGAACUGCAUGCGGCCACUAAUACUCAGACUUUCUUCUGCCUUUGCCACCCCUAAGACAGCAAGACCAACCCCUCCUGCUCCUCAGCCUACUCGAUGUGAUGAUGCCUGGCUUCCUUUUCCCUUCAAUGGAAUAACAUAUACAAACUCUACCUAAGAGUGCUGUGUGAAGUACAUGCCAGUCUACAAGACAUGUCUCUAACCAAGUCGAAAGAGUGCAGUAUUCAUUCAUUCAUUCAUUCAUUCAUUCAUUCAACAAAUGUUUAUUAACAGGUAU